AAUUCGAUUGUUUGAUCAUGGCUCAGGACGAACGCUGGCGGCGUGCUUAACACAUGCAAGUCGAACGGUGAUGGCCAGCUUGCUGGUCUGAUCAGUGGCGAACGGGUGAGUAACACGUGAGCAACCUGCCCUUCACUCUGGAAUAACCACGGGAAACGGUGGCUAAUACCGGAUAUGAGACGUACACGCAUGUGUCGCGUCUGGAAAGAUUUAUCGGUGAAGGAUGGGCUCGCGGCCUAUCAGCUUGUUGGUGGGGUAGUGGCCCACCAAGGCGACGACGGGUAGCCGGCCUGAGAGGGCGACCGGCCACACUGGGACUGAGAUACGGCCCAGACUCCUACGGGAGGCAGCAGUGGGGAAUAUUGCACAAUGGGCGCAAGCCUGAUGCAGCGACGCCGCGUGAGGGAUGACGGCCUUCGGGUUGUAAACCUCUUUCAGCAGGGAAGAAGCGAGAGUGACGGUACCUGCAGAAGAAGCGCCGGCUAACUACGUGCCAGCAGCCGCGGUAAUACGUAGGGCGCAAGCGUUGUCCGGAAUUAUUGGGCGUAAAGAGCUCGUAGGCGGUUUGUCGCGUCUGCUGUGAAAACCUAAGGCUCAACCUUGGGCUUGCAGUGGGUACGGGCAGACUAGAGUGCGGUAGGGGUGACUGGAAUUCCUGGUGUAGCGGUGGAAUGCGCAGAUAUCAGGAGGAACACCGAUGGCGAAGGCAGGUCACUGGGCCGCAACUGACGCUGAG
Molecule: ribosomal RNA, 736 nt
Filed under: uncultured bacterium
Lineage: Bacteria
Description: bacterial SSU rRNA
Rfam family: Bacterial small subunit ribosomal RNA
Source: RNAcentral